Molecule: long non-coding RNA, 1061 nt
Organism: Daktulosphaira vitifoliae (grape phylloxera)
Lineage: Eukaryota; Metazoa; Arthropoda; Insecta; Hemiptera; Phylloxeridae
Exons: 6
Source: RefSeq, a predicted model, not a curated record
AAUUUGCACUUUUUCUACAUGGAGAAAUAAAUCUGUAUUGUAGCAGAACUGUUAUUUUUUUUUACUUUUAUAAUAAUUUGUAAAUAAAAUAACGAAUUCAAAAUUAUUUGUUAUCUUUAAUCCAAAAAAUCCUGAAACAGCUGUGACUCUAAUCAAGUGAUUUACAGUCUGGUCCAAAACGAUCCAUAUUAGAUGUAAAUCAUGUAUAAAACUAACAGCAUAGUAUUUAUAUUUUAUGUGGAUCUAGAGAUCUUAAAAAUGGAAAACUUACAAAGCAUGAUGCUCAUCUAGUACAAAAUCUCAUAAAUAACUAUUAAAAAACUGACACUGUUCAUACCCAGCUAAUAACUCAAUUUAAAAUAGAAGUUACUGCUAAUAGCAUAAACCUAAGUUUUCUGAAAUAUUCAACAAAGAAACAAAUUACACUAGUCAUCAUAUUUAAAAUGAAAUAAUUGAAGUAUGUGCAAAUGGCGUAAGAGAUUCAAUUAUAGAAGACAUUAAUAAACAGACUUUUAGUAUAAAGUUUGAUGAAAUGUUAUGAAGAAGAACAAAUGUUUUAUAUUAUUUUAAAACAUGUAAAUAAAAUACUGAAGCUUAAAUAAUUUCACAAUCUUAUGUUUAUGCUUACAUCAUGUCUGGAAAUUUAAUGGAGUCUAUCAAAAAUUAGAAUUAAAUUUUCAAAAGCGAUUUUUACUCAUUGUAUGUUCAUAUAAUAAAUCAUUUGGUUGCAGAUAUAUGAAAAAAUAUUAAAGAAACUAAGUUUUUUUAACAUGAUUAAAUGUGUAUGUGUUAAUUUUUCUCUUCCCCCGUGAAUUGUCAAUUAGUUGAAUUGGAAAAAAACUUGGAUAUAAAAACAAAAACUUUGGGCUAAUUAGAAAUAGUAGAUGGAAUUGUAAAUGUAAAAACUGUGAAGCCAUUAAAUAAUGUUUCAAGAGUAUUUGUAUUGUACUUAAAAGAGAAAUAGAAAAUAAAGUUGAUAGAGAUGUCAAUGAAGCAAAAGGUAUAAUUUAUAGACCACUAUUGUUUUUAUCCAAUUGAUGUAAAUUUUUUUAUAUUAUAAU